Long non-coding RNA from Trifolium pratense (red clover), 430 nucleotides. RefSeq lists it as uncharacterized. The record is from RefSeq and is a predicted model, not a curated record. The transcript is spliced from 2 exons. Lineage: Eukaryota; Viridiplantae; Streptophyta; Magnoliopsida; Fabales; Fabaceae.
AAUAAAGCCCAACCCAUUCUAUUUUCUAGGGUUUACGAGUCACUAUAAAAUCCCGAAACCCAUCUUGACUCUCUUCCUAAUCGCAGUUACUUCUGCCCAGUCUCAUCUAGGGUUUUUUCUCAACAAAGUUCUCUUCCGUUUUCAACAACCAUGAGAGCCAAGUGGAAGAAGAAGCGUAUGAGGAGAUUGAAGAGGAAGCGCCGAAAGAUGAGACAGAGAUCUAAGUAGUGUGUGUUUUCAGACAUCAUUGAUCGAUCUUAGUUUUGUUUUUCCUUUCCUUGUUGUUUUUUAAAUCAGACCUAAGAGAGUAGUAUCGGAUUUUCUCUCUCGUUUUGCUGUUAUGAUAUUUUGUUUUUGUAUUAACUCAAUGAUAUUGUUCUUUAUGGAAUUCAGUAGUUUUAAUAUUUGAAUGGUUUAUGAUCUUUUGAUA